This 380-nucleotide unclassified non-coding RNA is filed under the name uncultured Gemmatimonadota bacterium. Its description in RNAcentral is "uncultured Gemmatimonadetes bacterium contains 16S-23S intergenic spacer region". The record is from RNAcentral. Lineage: Bacteria; Pseudomonadati; Gemmatimonadota.
UCCGGCUUGACGCCGGCAGUCCCCCGAGAGUCCUCAGCUUUACCUGUUAGUAACACGGGGCAAGGGUUGCGCUCGUUGCGGGACUUAACCCAACAUCUCACGACACGAGCUGACGACAGCCAUGCAGCACCUGUGCACGUGUCCCGAAGGAGGCCCUCUCUUUCAAGAGGGUUUCACGUGCAUGUCAAACCCAGGUAAGGUUCUUCGCGUUGCGUCGAAUUAAACCACAUGCUCCACCGCUUGUGCGGGCCCCCGUCAAUUCCUUUGAGUUUCAGCCUUGCGGCCGUACUCCCCAGGCGGGGUACUUCCUGCGUUAGCGCCGGCACCCAAGGGGUCACUCCCCCAGGCACCUAGUACCCAUCGUUUAUGGCGUGGACUAC